UUACGCCCAUAUCAAGUUGAAACACCGGUUUCCGUACGAUCAUAGAAAUUAAGCAACGUUGAACCUAGCCAGUACCUGGAUGGGUGACCACUUGGCAAUACCAGGCGUAGCAAG
Molecule: non-coding RNA, 114 nt
Organism: Acanthosepion pharaonis
Lineage: Eukaryota; Metazoa; Mollusca; Cephalopoda; Sepiida; Sepiidae
Source: the annotation of a GenBank genome assembly